RNAcentral lists this small nuclear RNA (23 nucleotides) under Arabidopsis thaliana (thale cress). Its description in RNAcentral is "snRNA_14817". Lineage: Eukaryota; Viridiplantae; Streptophyta; Magnoliopsida; Brassicales; Brassicaceae. The record is from RNAcentral.
ACUACAUGCAAUGAAAUCGUAUC